This 466-nucleotide ribosomal RNA is filed under the name uncultured bacterium. RNAcentral describes it as "bacterial SSU rRNA". It matches the Rfam family "Bacterial small subunit ribosomal RNA", at positions 28 to 507 of the family's 1533-position model. The record is from RNAcentral.
GACGAACGCUGGCGGCGUGCCUAACACAUGCAAGUCGAACGCGAAAGGGGGCUUGCCCCCAAGUAAAGUGGCGCACGGGUGAGUAACGCGUGGGUAACCAACCCCUAGGUGGGGGAUAACGGCCCGAAAGGGGCGCUAAUCCCGCAUAAGACCACGAUAGCGCAGGCUAUUGGGGCCAAAGGAGUGAUUCGCCUAGGGACGGGCCCGCGUCCCAUCAGCUAGUUGGUAGGGUAACGGCCUACCAAGGCAGUGACGGGUAGCUGGUCUGAGAGGAUGAUCAGCCACACUGGGACUGGAACACGGCCCAGACUCCUACGGGAGGCAGCAGUGAGGAAUUUUGGACAAUGGGCGAAAGCCUGAUCCAGCAACGCCGCGUGAGUGAUGAAGGCCCUCGGGUUGUAAAGCUCUUUCAGGGGGGAUGAGAAAGGACGGUACCCCCGACCAAGAAGCACCGGCUAACUCCGUG